GCGAAAGUUUUAUUUUGGCUUUUAGAUUGAGUUACGGUCCCGUUUAUAUAUAAGGGUUUUCUAAACACUUUAAUUAAAGAUUGGGUUUGUGGGUUUAGUAUAUAGUAUUAAAACUUAAGUUUUUCUUAUAUUUAGGGAAAUCGUUCAGUCCAGACUAAGUUUGUGCCAGCAGUAGCGGUUACACAAACUGUGCGAUUUAAUUUUUUUUAGGUUUAAUUAAAAGUUUAUUUAAAUAAGAAUAGAGAUUGGGUUUUUAGGUGAAAUUUAAAUCUUUUUUAUUUCUUUUUUUUUAAUUUUGAUAUUAAUAAAUUUGUUUUUAAACUAGGAUUAGAUACCCUAUUAUUUAGAAUGUAAUUUUUUGCCUAUGUUAUUUAUAGUUAAGUUCUUAAAAGCAAAAGAAUUUGGCGGUAUUUUAGUCUGUUCAGAGGAACCUGUUUUUUAAUUGAUGGUCCACGAUAAUUUUUACUUUUGUUUUAAAUUUAUAUAUCGUUGUUUAUAAAAAUUUUUUUAGGAUUAUAAUUUUUAAUAUUUUUUAUUAAAUUUUAUUUCAGAUCAAGGUGUAGUUUAUAUAAAAGUUAAAAUGGGUUACAAUAAGUUUAUUUUUGGUUUUAAAUUUUAAAAUUUUAGAUAAAUUGGAUUUGAUAGUAAAAUCUUAUUUUUUGGGUUUUGAUUUAGCUCUAAAAUAUGCACAUAUCGCCCGUCGCUUUCGCUUUAAAGUGAAAUAAGUCGUAACAAAGUAGGCUUAUUGGAAAAUGAGCCUAGAAUGA
Molecule: non-coding RNA, 767 nt
Filed under: Coleoptera sp. ACP-2013
Lineage: Eukaryota; Metazoa; Arthropoda; Insecta; Coleoptera
Source: RNAcentral